GACGAACGCUGGCGGCGGGCUUAACACAUGCAAGUCGAACGGAAAGGCCCUGCUUUUGUGGGGUGCUCGAGUGGCGAACGGGUGAGUAACACGUGAGUAACCUGCCCUUGACUUUGGGAUAACUUCAGGAAACUGGGGCUAAUACCGGAUAGGAGCUCCUGCUGCAUGGGGGGGGUUGGAAAGUUUCGGCGGUUGGGGAUGGACUCGCGGCUUAUCAGCUUGUUGGUGGGGUAGUGGCUUACCAAGGCUUUGACGGGUAGCCGGCCCGAGAGGGUGACCGGCCACCUUGGGACUGAGAUACGGCCCAGACUCCUACGGGAGGCAGCAGUGGGGAAUAUUGCACAAUGGGCGGAAGCCUGAUGCAGCAACGCCGCGUGCGGGAUGACGGCCUUCGGGUUGUAAACCGCUUUCGCCUGUGACGAAGCGUGAGUGACGGUAAUGGGUAAAGAAGCACCGGCUAACUACGUG
RNAcentral lists this ribosomal RNA (468 nucleotides) under uncultured bacterium. Its description in RNAcentral is "partial 16S ribosomal RNA". It matches the Rfam family "Bacterial small subunit ribosomal RNA", at positions 28 to 507 of the family's 1533-position model. The record is from RNAcentral.